GCAGAACAUUGGGAGAACGAAAGACAAAGAAUGACGUAACUCGGUAAUGGAAGGAGCUAUCUUUGCUUCUAUGCCAACAACAUUAUUUUGGAUGGCUUAUAUUGCUUGUUCGUUGCUUACAUGGAGUUGAUGGGGUCAGUUAUCUCUCAUUACAAGGAAUCAGUAACACCUCCAAGGAAUCAACCUGUCUAAUUUUAGGCCAUUUGGAAGGCGUUGGUAGGACUACUUUUAAUUCUUUACCAAUCAGGCUCCCAAAAGAGGGGUGAAGGCACCAGUGGCGGCAAAGAAGAAGACCGAUAAGGUUGUGAACCCUUUAUUUGAAAAGCGUCCAAAAAAAUUUGGUAUUGGUGGUGCAUUGCCUCCAAAAAGGAUUUGCAUAGGUUCGUGAAAUGGCCAAAAGUUGUCCGCAUUCAACGCCAAAGGAGGAUUUUAAGCAAAGUUCGAAGGUUCCACCUGCUUUGAACCAGUUCACAAAGACCUUAGAUAAAAACCUUGGAAAACGACAAAGUUGGAGGACGAUUUAUAUAGUUCGGUUACAUAUUACUUGGAAUGCUUGUUGGACCUGCAACUGCUGGAAGAGGAGAAUCAUAUUUAUUUAACAAAAGAGAAGGUCAAUUCAUUGCCUGGCAUAUCGCCUAUUUUACUACCGAUCAUCUAAUUUAUUGCUGGAUCGGACGAUGGUGGAUGCUUGCCUUACAGAAGGUGCUCACUACCAGGACCUUGUUCAGGUGCAUAACUCAUAAGUGUUGCAGAUUUGAAAAACAAUCGGCACGCAAGACAAGGCAAAGACUGUUAUCUCAUGCGUGUUUGAUGCCAAUGCUGGAAUUACUUGAAAUGAUAAAUUUGUCUAUGCUCGCGUUAAAUGCUCACAAAGUGUUGGCUCUGAAUUGUGCUUGGUUAAAUAAAACAAUUUUUUGGUUGCAAGUAUCAUAAUGAAUAGACCUUUGUGCUUGUAUUUCCCCAAUGUAUGUAUGAGUGUUGAAAUGUGUGUGGCAGCCUGUGUUUCAGGAUAAAUUGUGUCGCAGGCCUGUAAACUGGAAGCCCAGGUCCGUUAUAACGGAUCUGGACUAUCCAUUUUUUUU
Molecule: long non-coding RNA, 1082 nt
Organism: Papaver somniferum (opium poppy)
Lineage: Eukaryota; Viridiplantae; Streptophyta; Magnoliopsida; Ranunculales; Papaveraceae
Exons: 10
Source: RefSeq, a predicted model, not a curated record